This 239-nucleotide ribosomal RNA is filed under the name uncultured Lactobacillus sp. RNAcentral describes it as "partial 16S ribosomal RNA". It matches the Rfam family "Bacterial small subunit ribosomal RNA", at positions 122 to 355 of the family's 1533-position model. The record is from RNAcentral. Lineage: Bacteria; Bacillati; Bacillota; Bacilli; Lactobacillales; Lactobacillaceae.
UAACCUGCCCAAGAGAUCGGGAUAACACCUGGAAACAGAUGCUAAUACCGGAUAACAACAGAUGAUGCCUAUCAACUGUUUAAAAGAUGGUUCUGCUAUCACUCUUGGAUGGACCUGCGGUGCAUUAGCUAGUUGGUAGGGUAACGGCCUACCAAGGCAUGAUGCAUAGCCGAGUUGAGAGACUGAUCGGCCACAUUGGGACUGAGACACGGCCCAAACUCCUACGGGAGGCAGCAGUU